Molecule: ribosomal RNA, 429 nt
Filed under: Chloroflexota bacterium
Lineage: Bacteria; Bacillati; Chloroflexota
Description: Chloroflexi bacterium partial 16S ribosomal RNA
Rfam family: Bacterial small subunit ribosomal RNA
Source: RNAcentral
UGGGGAAUAUUGCACAAUGGGCGCAAGCCUGAUGCAGCCAUGCCGCGUGUGUGAAGAAGGCCUUCGGGUUGUAAAGCACUUUCAGCGGGGAGGAAGGCGGUGAGGUUAAAAACCUCAUCGAUUGACGUUACCCGCAGAAGAAGCACCGGCUAACUACGUGCCAGCAGCCGCGGUAAUACGUAGGUGGCAAGCGUUGUCCGGAUUUAUUGGGCGUAAAGCGAGCGCAGGCGGUUUCUUAAGUCUGAUGUGAAAGCCCCCGGCUCAACCGGGGAGGGUCAUUGGAAACUGGGAGACUUGAGUGCAGAAGAGGAGAGUGGAAUUCCAUGUGUAGCGGUGAAAUGCGUAGAUAUAUGGAGGAACACCAGUGGCGAAGGCGGCUCUCUGGUCUGUAACUGACGCUGAGGCUCGAAAGCGUGGGGAGCAAACAGG